This 61-nucleotide ribosomal RNA is filed under the name uncultured bacterium. Its description in RNAcentral is "partial 16S ribosomal RNA". The record is from RNAcentral.
AACGGAAGGGGGACCCAAAGGCCCGGCCCCGAAAAGGGUACGUAGCGCCAGUGACUGGGCG